This 347-nucleotide small RNA is filed under the name Histoplasma ohiense. Its description in RNAcentral is "hypothetical lncRNA". The record is from RNAcentral. Lineage: Eukaryota; Fungi; Ascomycota; Eurotiomycetes; Onygenales; Ajellomycetaceae.
UCAACGGACUAUAAUAGAUGGAGAUAGAUCGGCGGCAGCUAGGAGAGAUAUACCCAAUUCCGUUGACCAUCCAGCAAGCCUUUUGCUUGUUCGAGGACCUGACUAUAAACUUCUGUUUUUGUCAAGCCAGGCGCGAAAUACGACGAAUCUGCGUGCGGCUACGUGUAUUUGUUGUCUCCGUUAGAUAAGGGGUUUCCAAACCUCGAAGGCCUUCAGGCUAGGUGUGGCAUACCAUGUUUACGAUGGUUAGGAUGGCAACACGAGAAAGGGACAAUAAUGGAAUUUAUAUUGGAGGACUGUGAUAUUACAAUAGGUGUAUACAGCAGGAAUGAUGAGUGAGGAUGCGG